GCAUGAGUGAAGAAGGCCUUUGGGUUGUAAAGCUCUUUUAGUGAGGAAGAUAAUGACGGUACUCACAGAAGAAGUCCUGGCUACUCCGUGCCAGCAGCCGCGGUAAUACGGAGAGGGCUAGCGAUUAUUCGGAAUUAUUGGGCGUAAAGGGCGCGUAGGCUGAUUAAUAAGUUAAAAGUGAAAUCCCGAGGCUUAACCUUGGAAUUGUUUUAAAACUAUUAAUCUAGAGAUUGAAAGAGGAUAGAGGAAUUCCUGAUGUAGAGGUAAAAUUCGUAAAUAUUAGGAGGAACACCAGUGGCGAAGGCGUCUAUCUC
This 314-nucleotide ribosomal RNA is filed under the name Wolbachia endosymbiont of Bemisia tabaci. RNAcentral describes it as "bacterial SSU rRNA". It matches the Rfam family "Bacterial small subunit ribosomal RNA", at positions 399 to 731 of the family's 1533-position model. Lineage: Bacteria; Pseudomonadati; Pseudomonadota; Alphaproteobacteria; Rickettsiales; Anaplasmataceae. The record is from RNAcentral.